Molecule: long non-coding RNA, 2482 nt
Filed under: Lathyrus oleraceus (garden pea)
Lineage: Eukaryota; Viridiplantae; Streptophyta; Magnoliopsida; Fabales; Fabaceae
Description: Pisum sativum (pea) long non-coding RNA (PSAT_LNC011992)
Source: RNAcentral
CAAAAGCUAUGAUUCAAACAUAAAUUUGGAAGGCAAAGUUUUAAUUUGAAAAACAAGACAUUGUUUCAUUGAAUCCAAAGGGCUAUUUCCAUUCAAUGGUCCAUUUCAUUCAAAAACGUACAUAUACAAAGUUUUAUACAAAAAAAUUACAAAAAUAUAAGUUUGACCUAUAGUUGACUUUUGGUCAACUGUUGACUUUUUGGUUAACCAAUUGAUCAAAGCCAACUGACCCAAUUUCUAGACCUAACACAUAAUUUCCACAUUGAUUCUUCAUUCUUUUACAUCCUUUCACUUAAUUGCAUGACCAAACAUUUCUUCUUCAGCAAGUAAACUUUUUUUUCUCCAAACCAUCACCAUGAGCUUUCAUGUAGUUCCAUGCCAAGCAAGCUUCAGUCAUCAACAUAUCAACUUGCAACAAGCCAAACAUCUCAACCAUUAUCAUAGCAUUUCAAACAGCCUACAAGAUUCAUGUUAAAAUAUCAAGCACUCAUAACAUCCUACAUGGCAAUGCAAAAUACAAUAAUGUAGCAUACUGCUACAUCAAAACAGCUUGUCGAGUAACAACCAUGUAUCCAUGCUCACCUAUUUACAACAAAUCCAUUCAAGCAACGCUUCAAAACAAGCCAUCAACAUAACAUUCAUAGCAAACAUCAUCAACAAAACUGAGCAAGCAACAUACUUAACAUUCAAAUAGCUAUAACAGCACACUUAUAACCUACCAUAACCAAUCCAUUUAACUUCCAAUUACUAACUAUUUAUGUCCUAAUUCUAACAAUUUUAAGACAAAGUUUCAGUAUGAAUUAAUUCACUUGCAUUGACAUCAUUCAAAAUACUUUUCAACUGAUUUCUAACAUUGCAACAAAUACAAUAACAUAGAAUUUCAAUUACUCAUUAAAAUUCACUACCUGUCAAGUUUAAUUCAUACUAAAUAAUCCCAAUCAGCUAACAACAACAAGCAUAUCAGCAGCUAACGUACAAGCAUGGCGUAUCAACUCACUUCAGUCAAGUAACAUACAUGGCAGACAUGGAAUUUGCAAAAAGCAUCAAUCACUGUUAAACCUGUUUAUGAAAAUUGAACUACACAACAACAACAAGACGCAUGAGCAAGACCUGUAGUAUUAAAUUCAAUCAUUCCAUCAAUCCAUCAUAACAAAGAGCAUUACACCAAUCAAGCCACCAAUCCAAACAUUACAAAACAAUGCCUAAACAUGACAUACAAUAUGACAAACCACUUGCAAGAACUCACCAAAACAUGACCUCACCAACCAUGACCAUUGACCUGCUGCAACCUCACCAUGACUUGCUACAUCAAUAUACAUCUGCCUUUAACUUACAUUAAUGCCCUACAUCCACACAUCAUGACCUGUAACAAUAUCCAUCAAGCCUUGACACACUAUCAUCACCAUGAACAUGAUGCAACCUGGAAUAUUAGCAUGCCAUACAAAAACUCAAUACAAAUUUCAAAUACUCAAUCCACUAACAGUCAGUUUAACUAAUAUUUCACUAACAGAGCAAUGACAGUUCAAACUUUCAACUAAUUCUCCUUUGGUUAAUGCUAACUAACUAAUGCAUUAACUGACUUUAAGUGGAAUUGACUAACUGCAUAACUAGUUAACGGUGUUAACUCUUCUAACAAACUUACCCAUUGAUUGAACUAACCUUAACCUUCAAUAAAACUUUUCCUGACUCUGCCCCAUUUUGUUACAAACUAUGAGCCCUAUAAAUCAAAACUCACACACACAUCCAAGGGGAUUGAUCACAAUACCGAAAAUCUCAGAAUCUUUGCAUCAUCUUCAACCUCUCAACUAUAAUCACUCAGAGCACAUCCCUAGACUUCUACAGAGUCUCGACAAUGGACCUUGAAUGAAGGUGUGUUAAACCUCCAUCUGAUUCCAUCACUCUAUUCAUAACCUCACGAGUUCUCUCUGCAACUUUUACUCCCUCUCAAAGCAUAAUCUCAGGCAUAUGUUUUAAAAGAAGAAGAAGAAGGAUCUUUAGAAGAGGAAGAAUCAGAAAGAAGAAGAAGAUAAGAGCAGGAGCAUGCCGGAUUUCAAGUGAUUUUCCCAUCGCUGCUUCGUCUUCUCAUAUCCAACGCUUCGCCAAAGCAAUUCUCAGCUUCGGAGGUAGGUUCAUCUUCACCACUUUAUUGCAAUUAAGUUAUCAUGUUAUAGCUUGCAUCAGGGCGAUUCAAAGCCCUAUCAAUUGUGGCUCUGAAUCUUGUCCUUCGCUAUGUAAUUUGUGGUUGAACUCCUAGGGCUCUUGAAGUCUUUAAUCCGAUUUUGAGGAUAGAUUCAGAAUUGGUUGAAAUGGAAGGAAGAUUUGGAUUGGGGAGGUAGAAACAUAUUAUUUGCUGUAUCUGAUGAUUGUUUAUGAUGGACACUGUUGUCGGAGGCAAUUUUUGGUGUGGUGGUCCACGGCGGAUGUUGAUUUGAGUUAUGAAUUAGAGACUGAUGCGUAAUAUUUUUAAUUUAAUUUUGUUUUU